UGGGGAAUUUUGCACAAUGGGGGAAACCCUGAUGCAGCGACGCCGCGUGAUUUAGAAGGCCUUCGGGUUGUAAAAAUCUUUUCUAUGGGAAGAAAAUGACAGUACCAUAGGAAUAAGGACCGGCUAAUUACGUGCCAGCAGCCGCGGUAAUACGUAAGGUCCGAGCGUUGUCCGGAAUCAUUGGGCGUAAAGGGUACGUAGGCGGGUAAGCAAGUUAGAAGUGAAAUCCUAUAGCUCAACUAUAGUAAGCUUUUAAAACUGCUCAUCUUGAGGUAUGGAAGGGAAAGUGGAAUUCCUAGUGUAGCGGUGAAAUACGCAGAUAUUAGGAGGAAUACCGGUGGCGAAGGCGACUUUCUGGCCAUAACCUGACGCUGAGGUACGAAAGAGUGGGUAGCAAACAGG
This 402-nucleotide ribosomal RNA is filed under the name bacterium. Its description in RNAcentral is "partial 16S ribosomal RNA". It matches the Rfam family "Bacterial small subunit ribosomal RNA", at positions 355 to 776 of the family's 1533-position model. The record is from RNAcentral.